GUGCCAGACUCCUACGGGAGGCAGCAGUGGGGAAUAUUGCACAAUGGGCGCAAGCCUGAUGCAGCCAUGCCGCGUGUAUGAAGAAGGCCUUCGGGUUGUAAAGUACUUUCAGCGGGGAGGAAGGGGUUAAGGUUAAUAACCUUAGCCAUUGACGUUACCCGCAGAAGAAGCGCCGGCUAACUCCGUGCCAGCAGCCGCGGUAAUACGGAGGGUGCAAGCGUUAAUCGGAAUUACUGGGCGUAAAGCGCACGCAGGCGGUCUGUCAAGUCGGAUGUGAAAUCCCCGGGCUCAACCUGGGAACUGCAUUCGAAACUGGCAGGCUGGAGUCUUGUAGAGGGGGGUAGAAUUCCAGGUGUAGCGGUGAAAUGCGUAGAGAUCUGGAGGAAUACCGGUGGCGAAGGCGGCCCCCUGGACAAAGACUGACGCUCAGGUGCGAAAGCGUGGGGAGCAAACAGGAUUAGAUACCCCCGUAUA
RNAcentral lists this ribosomal RNA (474 nucleotides) under uncultured bacterium. RNAcentral's name for it is "bacterial SSU rRNA". It matches the Rfam family "Bacterial small subunit ribosomal RNA", at positions 328 to 794 of the family's 1533-position model. The record is from RNAcentral.